RNAcentral lists this transfer RNA (88 nucleotides) under Caloramator mitchellensis. RNAcentral describes it as "tRNA-Leu". It matches the Rfam family "tRNA". From Rfam's summary of the family: Transfer RNA (tRNA) molecules are approximately 80 nucleotides in length. Their secondary structure includes four short double-helical elements and three loops (D, anti-codon, and T loops). Further hydrogen bonds mediate the characteristic L-shaped molecular structure. tRNAs have two regions of fundamental functional importance: the anti-codon, which is responsible for specific mRNA codon recognition, and the 3' end, to which the tRNAs corresponding amino acid is attached (by aminoacyl-tRNA synthetases). tRNAs cope with the degeneracy of the genetic code in two manners: having more than one tRNA (with a specific anti-codon) for a particular amino acid; and 'wobble' base-pairing, i.e. permitting non-standard base-pairing at the 3rd anti-codon position. The record is from RNAcentral. Lineage: Bacteria; Bacillati; Bacillota; Clostridia; Eubacteriales; Clostridiaceae.
GCCGAAGUGGUGGAAUUGGCAGACGCGCCGGACUCAAAAUCCGGUGGGCUAAUAACCCGUGCGGGUUCGACCCCCGCCUUCGGCACCA